UACGAAGGGGGCUAGCGUUGCUCGGAAUCACUGGGCGUAAAGGGUGCGUAGGCGGGUCUUUGAGUCCGGGGUGAAAUCCUGGAGCUCAACUCCAGAACUGCCUUUGAUACUGAAGAUCUUGAGUUCGGGAGAGGUGAGUGAAACUGCGAGUGUAGAGGUGAAAUUCGUAGAUAUUCGCAAGAACACCAGUGGCGAAGGCGGCUCACUGGCCCGAUACUGACGCUGAGGCACGAAAGCGUGGGGAGCAAACAGG
This 253-nucleotide ribosomal RNA is filed under the name uncultured bacterium. RNAcentral describes it as "partial 16S ribosomal RNA". It matches the Rfam family "Bacterial small subunit ribosomal RNA", at positions 524 to 776 of the family's 1533-position model. The record is from RNAcentral.